CUGAAUAGGGCGAAUGAGUAUUUGGUCGUAGACCCGAAACCAGGUGAUCUACCCUUGGUCAGGUUGAAGUUCAGGUAACACUGAAUGGAGGACCGAACCGACUUACGUUGAAAAGUGAGCGGAUGAACUGAGGGUAGCGGAGAAAUUCCAAUCGAACUUGGAGAUAGCUGGUUCUCUCCGAAAUAGCUUUAGGGCUAGCCUCAAGUGAUGAUUAUUGGAGGUAGAGCACUGUUUGGACGAGGGGCCCCUCUCGGGUUACCGAAUUCAGACAAACUCCGAAUGCCAAAUAAUUUAACUUGGGAGUCAGAAUGUGGGUGAUAAGGUCCAUAUUCGAAAGGGAAACAGCCCAGACCACCAGCUAAGGUCCCAAAAUAUAUGUUAAGUGGAAAAGGAUGUGGCGUUGCCCAGACAACUAGGAUGUUGGCUUAGAAGCAGCCAUCAUUUAAAGAGUGCGUAAUAGCUCACUAGUCGAGUGACACUGCGCCGAAAAUGUACCGGGGCUAAACAUAUUACCGAAGCUGUGGAUUGUCCUUUGGACAAUGGUAGGAGAGCGUUCUAAGGGCGUUGAAGCAUGAUCGCAAGGACAUGUGGAGCGCUUAGAAGUGAGAAUGCCGGUGUGAGUAGCGAAAGACGGGUGAGAAUCCCGUCCACCGAUUGACUAAGGUUUCCAGAGGAAGGCUCGUCCGCUCUGGGUUAGUCGGGUCCUAAGCUGAGGCCGACAGGCGUAGGCGAUGGAUAACAGG
RNAcentral lists this ribosomal RNA (743 nucleotides) under Staphylococcus pseudintermedius. RNAcentral's name for it is "partial 23S ribosomal RNA". It matches the Rfam family "Bacterial large subunit ribosomal RNA", at positions 683 to 1429 of the family's 2925-position model. Lineage: Bacteria; Bacillati; Bacillota; Bacilli; Caryophanales; Staphylococcaceae. The record is from RNAcentral.